This 468-nucleotide ribosomal RNA is filed under the name uncultured bacterium. Its description in RNAcentral is "partial 16S ribosomal RNA". It matches the Rfam family "Bacterial small subunit ribosomal RNA", at positions 28 to 507 of the family's 1533-position model. The record is from RNAcentral.
GACGAACGCUGGCGGCGUGCUUAACACAUGCAAGUCGAACGGAAAGGCCCUGUUCUUGUGGCGUGCUCGAGUGGCGAACGGGGGAGUAACACGCGAGUAACCUCCCCUUGACUUUGGGAUAACUCCAGGAAACUCGGGCGAUAACCGGAUAUGAGCUCUUGCUGCACGGGGGGGGUUGGAAAAUUUCGGCGGUUGGGGAUGGACUGGCGGCUUAGCAGCUUGUUGGUGGGGUAGUGGCUUACCAAGGCUUUGAGGGGUAGCCGGCCUGAGAGGGUGACCGGGCACAAUGGGACUCAGGUAGGACCCAGACGGCUACGGGAGGCAGCAGUGGGAAAUAUUCCGCAAUAGGCGGAAGCCUGAUAGAGCAACGCCGGGUGCGGAAUGACGGCCUUCGGGGUAUAAACCGCUUUCGCCUGUAACGAAGAGUGAGUGACGGUAACUAGUCAGGAAGCACCGGCUAACUACGUG